Molecule: unclassified non-coding RNA, 1032 nt
Filed under: uncultured fungus
Lineage: Eukaryota; Fungi
Description: sequence contains 18S rRNA gene, ITS1, 5.8S rRNA gene, ITS2, 28S rRNA gene
Source: RNAcentral
ACAAAGAAAUUUUUCCACCGGUAGUUCAGGAAGGCAACCGAUUCGUAAAAAUUUGCUCCCAGCGGAUGGGCGAUGGCCUGGUUGUAAUGGGCAAAAUUCUGCAGGCGGCUCCGGUGCGCAUAUACGAAUGGCCGCACAAAAUUAAAUUCUGUCUGUGCAUUCAGAUGCCUUAUGCCGAAAAGAUCAUAGGCUUUGUACCCGGCCUGGAAGGCCUGCUUGUUGCCCCACCAUCCGUUGCCGGCUUUGACUUCAUCGAGUAUCAGUUCGUCGAUCAGCAACUGGCCGUAAAAUACAUGUUGCGGACUCAGCCUGAAUUUGAUAGUGCCGCCCAGCAAGACGUUAUCCGGCGACCCGAUGGAAUUUUCUGUGGGCCGCAGAAAAAUGACGGGAUUCAGAUAGGUGAAAUCAAAUCCGCGCGUGGAAUCGUUUUUCCAUGUCACCGAUUCAAACAAGCCCAGCGUGAUCCGCUCGCGUUUGCCGAUAUGAACGGAAAGGUAAUGGAAGACAGAGUAUUUUCUUUGAAAGCCGGCAUCGUAAUUAUACGGAACCGCCAGGUCCUGCAUCAGGGUAUACAGCACCUGGUACUGCAGUUUCCAGAAUUUCGCUGUCAUCCGCAGGAACGGGUAGCUGAACGAAUUAUCCGAGAGAAGCAACGACCGGUACCCGUCACCGAUGAAAUUUUUAUCCUGCGCCAGCUGAAAAUCAAAAUGCUUGCUUGCCGUAAACCCGAUUCCGCCGAAGGCAGAGUUAAAAUCCACCACUUCCUCCGACAGGAACUUGACCCGCCCCUGUCCCGGCACGACUCCCGUAUUUACAAUUUGUUUGUCAACAUAACGGAUGUAACGCGCCUGGUUUUCAUAGAACCCUGUAUAGAUAUAAAACCGGUCCCCUGCCCUGGCCUGCACCAGGAGCCCGCGCGUAUUGACGAAAACAUUCCUCUCCGCGCCGGGCUCCCUGCCCGCUUCAAAAUUAAAUACCGGGUCGAGUGUCAGGUGCAGAUCAUCCUUGUUUACUUCCAGCAGGUGCUCCUUG